UGGGGAAUUUUGGACAAUGGGCGCAAGCCUGAUCCGGCCAUGCCGCGUGCGGGAAGAAGGCCUUCGGGUUGUAAACCGCUUUUGUCAGGGAAGAAAUCCUUUGAGCUAAUACCUCGGGGGGAUGACGGUACCUGAAGAAUAAGCACCGGCUAACUACGUGCCAGCAGCCGCGGUAAUACGUAGGGUGCGAGCGUUAAUCGGAAUUACUGGGCGUAAAGCGUGCGCAGGCGGUUAUAUAAGACAGAUGUGAAAUCCCCGGGCUCAACCUGGGACCUGCAUUUGUGACUGUAUAGCUAGAGUACGGUAGAGGGGGAUGGAAUUCCGCGUGUAGCAGUGAAAUGCGUAGAUAUGUGGAGGAACACCGAUGGCGAAGGCAGCCCCCUGGGUCAAGAUUGACGCUCAUGCACGAAAGCGUGGGGAGCAAACA
This 427-nucleotide ribosomal RNA is filed under the name uncultured bacterium. Its description in RNAcentral is "bacterial SSU rRNA". It matches the Rfam family "Bacterial small subunit ribosomal RNA", at positions 355 to 774 of the family's 1533-position model. The record is from RNAcentral.